This 366-nucleotide ribosomal RNA is filed under the name uncultured bacterium. RNAcentral's name for it is "bacterial SSU rRNA". It matches the Rfam family "Bacterial small subunit ribosomal RNA", at positions 282 to 660 of the family's 1533-position model. The record is from RNAcentral.
GGUAGCCGGCCUGAGAGGGUGUCCGGCCACACUGGGACUGAGAUACGGCCCAGACUCCUACGGGAGGCAGCAGUGGGGAAUAUUGCACAAUGGGCGCAAGCCUGAUGCAGCGACGCCGCGUGGGGGAUGACGGCCUUCGGGUUGUAAACCUCUUUCAGUAGGGACGAAGCGCAAGUGACGGUACCUACAGAAGAAGGACCGGCCAACUACGUGCCAGCAGCCGCGGUAAUACGUAGGGUCCGAGCGUUGUCCGGAAUUACUGGGCGUAAAGAGCUCGUAGGUGGUUUGUCGCGUUGUUCGUGAAAUCUCACAACUCAAUUGUGAGCGUGCGAGCGAUACGGGCAGACUGGAGUACUGCAGGGGAGA